AUUGAACGCUGGCGGCAUGCCUUACACAUGCAAAUCGAACGGUAACGGGCCUUCGGGUGCCGACGAGUGGCGAACGGGUGAGUAAUACAUCGGAACGUGCCCGAUCGUGGGGGAUAACGAGGCGAAAGCUUUGCUAAUACCGCAUACGAUCUACGGAUGAAAGCAGGGGACCGCAAGGCCUUGCGCGGACGGAGCGGCCGAUGGCAGAUUAGGUAGUUGGUGGGAUAAAAGCUUACCAAGCCGACGAUCUGUAGCUGGUCUGAGAGGAUGAUCAGCCACACUGGGACUGAGACACGGCACAGACUCCUACGGGAGGCAGCAGUGGGGAAUUUUGGACAAUGGGCGCAAGCCUGAUCCAGCCAUGCCGCGUGCAGGAUGAAGGCCUUCGGGUUGUAAACUGAUUUUGUACGGAACGAAAAGCCUUCUUUUAAUACAGGAGGGUCAUGACGGUACCGUAAGAAUAAGCACCGGCUAACUACGUG
Molecule: ribosomal RNA, 482 nt
Filed under: uncultured bacterium
Lineage: Bacteria
Description: partial 16S ribosomal RNA
Rfam family: Bacterial small subunit ribosomal RNA
Source: RNAcentral